RNAcentral lists this ribosomal RNA (200 nucleotides) under uncultured bacterium. Its description in RNAcentral is "partial 16S ribosomal RNA". It matches the Rfam family "Bacterial small subunit ribosomal RNA", at positions 8 to 204 of the family's 1533-position model. The record is from RNAcentral.
AGAGUUUGAUCCUGGCUCAGGACGAACGCUGGCGGCGUGCCUAAUACAUGCAAGUCGAGCGAAUCAAUAGGAGCUUGCUCCUGUUGGUUAGCGGCAGACGGGUGAGUAACACGUGGGCAACCUGCCUGUAAGACUGGGAUAACUUCGGGAAACCGGAGCUAAUACCGGAUAAUUCUUUUCCUUUCAUGAGGGAAAGCUGA